This is a microRNA precursor of Gorilla gorilla gorilla (western lowland gorilla), 76 nucleotides long. The record is from Ensembl. Lineage: Eukaryota; Metazoa; Chordata; Mammalia; Primates; Hominidae.
CCGAUGCCUUGGGAGUCUACAGCAGGGCCAUGUCUGUGAGGGCCCAAGGGUGCAUGUGUCUCCCAGGUUUCGGUGC